CAGCUGCGCACUAGCUUCUCGAAAAAAGGGCUGCUGUGCGACCUCACACGUCGAUCUUCGGUGAAUUGGGAUGUCAACAAACCUUGGUGACACCAGGAGGGACCGGGGACGGGCGCCGCGGGUCUUGUGCUUGGAGCCUUUCCUCCUCCUGGAGAGCCAGGCGUACUAACCCUAAAGGACUGGGAUCCCAGGUAAAAUGAAAGUGGCAAGUGAAAUAGUGGCAAAACUCCCGGGAACACUGAGGGACGGAUAAAGUCGCCAAAGAAACACAAAUCAACUCCUCUGUGGCAUGAACAAGUUAAAGGCCAUAAAGUCCAAGCAAUCAGCCCUAAACCAGAGCAACCUGUGUUCUCUGAUGGGAAUUUGGAAUGUCAACAAAUGUGGAAAGGAACACAGAAAUGCCUAGGCCCUUCCUCAGCUUCUACAGAACAAGGGCCUUUCAAUCUGGCUUUGAGCUGGCACAUACUUUCCCAAAAUGAUGAACUUCAGGGCGGGACUUACACACAGAAGACAGUGACAGGAGGCUAUGGUUUCAAG
Long non-coding RNA from Microtus oregoni (creeping vole), 537 nucleotides. RefSeq lists it as uncharacterized. NCBI's taxonomy places the organism in Eukaryota, Metazoa, Chordata, Mammalia, Rodentia, Cricetidae. The record is from RefSeq and is a predicted model, not a curated record. The transcript has 3 exons.